This 260-nucleotide ribosomal RNA is filed under the name uncultured bacterium. Its description in RNAcentral is "partial 16S ribosomal RNA". It matches the Rfam family "Bacterial small subunit ribosomal RNA", at positions 524 to 783 of the family's 1533-position model. The record is from RNAcentral.
UACGUAGGUGGCAAGCGUUGUCCGGAUUUAUUGGGCGUAAAGCGAGCGCAGGCGGUUCCUUAAGUCUGAUGUGAAAGCCCACGGCUCAACCGUGGAAGGUCAUUGGAAACUGGGGAACUUGAGUGCAGAAGAGGAGAGUGGAAUUCCAUGUGUAGCGGUGAAAUGCGUAGAUAUAUGGAGGAACACCAGUGGCGAAGGCGACUCUCUGGUCUGUAACUGACGCUGAGGCUCGAAAGCGUGGGGAGCAAACAGGAUUAGAA